GAUGAACGCUGGCGGCGUGCUUAACACAUGCAAGUCGAACGAAGCACUUUAUUUGAUUUCCUUCGGGACUGAUUAUUUUGUGACUGAGUGGCGGACGGGGGAGUAACUCGUGGUUAACCUGCCUUGUACAGGGGGAUAACAGUGGGAAACGGCUGCUAAUACCGCAUAAGCGCACAGCAUCGCAUGAGGCAGUCGGAUAAACUCCGGUGGUAUAAGCUGGACCCGCGUUGGAUUAGCUAGUGGGUGAGGUAACGGCCAACCAAGGCGACGAUCCAGAGCCGGCCUGAGAGGGUGGCCGGCAGCAUUGGGACUGAGACACGGCGCAAACUCCUGCGAGAGGCCGCAGUGGGGAAUAUUGAACAUUGGGCGAAAGCCUGAUGCAGCGGCGCCGCGUGAGCGAAGAAGUAUUUCGGUAUGUAAAGCUCUAUCAGCAGGGAAGAUAAUGACGGUACCUGACUAAGAGGCACCGGCUACUUACGU
RNAcentral lists this ribosomal RNA (480 nucleotides) under uncultured bacterium. RNAcentral's name for it is "partial 16S ribosomal RNA". It matches the Rfam family "Bacterial small subunit ribosomal RNA", at positions 28 to 506 of the family's 1533-position model. The record is from RNAcentral.